GUUACGGGUUGUUCUGUCGCCACGCUCAAGGUGUGGAGGAAAGUCGGGACAACACAGAGCUCCAUACUUCCUAACGGGAAGGCCACGCUUACGGCGUGGACAGCAAGUGCCACAGAAAAUAACCGCCACGCCACUGGCGCGGUAAGGGUGAAAACGUGGGGUAAGAGCCCACGAGCCGUGAUGGUGACAUCAUGGUUGGGUAAACCUUAUGGGUUGCAAGACCAAAUAUGCCGGCGUUGUCAUGUUAAGGCAUGACAGAAAGAUUGCUCGUCUGAGCCGGUGGGUAGGUUGCUAAAGGUUGUCAGUGAUGGCAACCGCAGAUAAAUGACAGAAAUCGUGCCUUGGCACGAAACAGAAUCCCGCUUACAGACCCGUAACCUUU
Molecule: RNase P RNA, 382 nt
Filed under: Bacteroidota bacterium
Lineage: Bacteria; Pseudomonadati; Bacteroidota
Description: Bacteroidetes bacterium RNase P RNA component class A
Rfam family: Bacterial RNase P class A
About the family: Ribonuclease P (RNase P) is a ubiquitous endoribonuclease, found in archaea, bacteria and eukarya as well as chloroplasts and mitochondria. Its best characterised activity is the generation of mature 5'-ends of tRNAs by cleaving the 5'-leader elements of precursor-tRNAs.
Source: RNAcentral